GAGAGAGAGAGAAUCCCAAGCAGGCUCCAUGCUGUCAGAGCAGAGCCUGACAUGGGACUCAGUCCCACGACCCUGGGAUCAUGACCUGGGCUGAAGUCGGAUGCUUCAGCGACUGAACUACCCAGUUGCCCGUUUAAAACCUGCCUCCUUUGAAACUUGAGAUAUCAACGUGAUCGUAAGCAAAUAGCAGGACGGAGAAGGCUGGUUUCUGAAGUGGGGGACCGAGUGAGGGGUGCAUCCAGAUUUCUGUGUUUCAGAUGAAUCCAGGCACAUUUGGGCUCUUGCAGCUGAUGCACCACCUGCGGGCCGGCCACGACCAGCGUCCCCAGGGCAGCCGUGCGGAAGGCGCGUGGUGUAGCUCCGAUGCCAGGGCCUGCCUCCUUCCAGGGAAGGCUUGGACCUGGCUGCCGCCUUUGCUGAGAAUUCAUCUCUGCUUCCUCGGAGCCUGUGAAUUAGAUUUUUAUUUCUGCAGCCAGAAAAUCAUUCGAAAAUAUAGAAGAUCUGUCUUGUAAUCCUGUUACGUAAAAAGGUUUGCAUUAAAAAAAAAAAUCUCUUGUGGAUGAGUGAGGGUAACAAGCAAUGAAUUAUUUAGAGAAAAAACGCCCCCCCCCACCAAAAAAAAAAAAAAAAGACUCAGAGGCAGUAGGAGCCUUAUGAGAUCGUUGUGCAUAAAUUAAAAUGGGAAGAAGGUGCUGGUGAGGAUGUGCACGCUCAGAGUGGUGUGUAAAAGGCCAUCGCCACCACGAGAUUGGAAAUCUGAGGCACGUGUUGCUUCUCUAGGUUGAGAAUAGUUUGGAUGCAUCACGAGCCUGAAAGUUAAAGGAGUCCUGUCUUCCUGUCGCAUCCUAAGUGUUUGUGGGUGAGGUUUGGUAGCGUUUGUCCACAAAAUAAAUAAAUACACAGGCAAACUUCCGUCGAGAUGCCAUAGCAGCUCCUCUCGGGAGGCAUUUCUCUACACGCUUUGGGGAGGGGGACGGUCUGGUCUUGUUUUUCUCCGGAAUGGAAGUAUUGUCACGUUUGGAGCCUUCCCGAAACCGUAUCCAGCGAAAGUGAAACGGCGAUCCGUCUGCGUCAGCUUCGUAUUUUGUUCCGCAUGCCACAGACGAGCAGGGACAGGUAGGAGCCGAGAGGUUGCACAAUCCCCGGGAAGCAGCACGCGGUGGGUAGCUUGUGGCCACCGGAGGGGGGACCCGGGCUGCCUAGCGAGCCACUGGCCAGGUAGCAGUGGAGCUGUGGUUUGAAGGGACCUCCGUUAAGACAUUAAUAAGUGGGAAAAUGCCUGAAAAAUAGCCAUCCUGUUAUUUUCAAACUGUUACUUUGAACAUUUAUGAUUUGUGUUCAUUGUAGAAUUAUUCAAAGUAGAGAUGGAAAAAAAAAAAAAAACAAAACAACCACAACCCCAGACCUAGCAUUUCAAGAUGCUGUGUGUAGGUCUGGCCCAUGUUACGCGCCAUUUGGUCCCGUCUGCCCGCAUCUCGGGACAGAGGCUCUUGGGAGGUUUUCACACGCAGCGGGUUCGAGUGGAGCCUCUUCGCUGAAUUCCACCUGUCGUCUUUUCCGGUGUGUGGAUGUUUCGUAGUUGGCCUCUUUGUUCAGUAUCCUAAACCGUGUGCUAAAGUGUGCGGCCGAGGGCGUUUUCAUCGUAACUGCGCUGACCUCUCGGUGACGUUGUCCUAGAUGGGUCAUUGUUGUGCCAAGAUUUUCUUCAAUAUAAACGGUGUGUUGUUGCAUUGACUCCAGAAAGUUUGUACCGAUUUACCCUCCGCUGAGGAGAAGGCCCUCCCCCCCCCCCACCAGGCAUUGGGUCGGAAGAGGGGUGGUGGUUUCAGGAGGAGUUAGUGCUUCCACCCUGCAAGCCCCAUGGCGCGGGCAGGUGGCCCCACACACUCAGAUUCCCCCCUCCACCGGAGCCUUCUGUUUCUUAGGUUUCAUUAGAAUGUUGAUUAUGGACUUCGGGCUGACUUCAGGUCUGGAAUUUGAGAGUGACACAGGGACAUGCCCCGAGCCCCCGGGGAAGGUCAGAGCCAGGUGUUGGGGGGAGGAGGCAGAGGGGAGAAGCUGGAGAUGGUCCGUUCAGCUGGUCCGAGAAAGAAGAUGGGCUUCUCAGCAAAGCCCGUCUGCCCAGCUUCCUCCACGAGGGAACUUGGGAAAGAUGCGCGCCUCCCGCCUUCCCUCGUGAGCCUGGGUGUGUGCAGGCACCCUCGGGUUCCUUCUCGUUCCUUCCUUGUCUGCAGGGCCGAUUGUAGCCGAGGGCCGCAAACCACCUCGUUCUCUUGCUUCGGAAUUUUAACUCCGCGCGCGCGGGGAGUGGCUCCACGCCAGCCCUCUGCUGCGGGGAGGGGGGAGUUCCAGCUGCGCUGCAAGAAAGCCUGCGUGUCGCCCUGUCACAGAGCACUGAGCCUUUGUUGUGGGAAGUGGUUAAGUCCUCUCCAGGGAGCGAGCAUUUCUGCAGCGGGUGCCAGGGGUUGCUCUGUGCCGCUGAUCGCAGCGGCUGCAGUUUAGCGGGCACCUACUGUGCGCCAAGAAUUCGGUGUACGUUGGCCUCCUCUUCUAAUGAUCCACCAGAUCCGUGUCAUCGUGUCAUGGUGGGGAUUCAGAAGCUCAGGGGAUGUGAGCCUCACGGAAGGUUCUCCAGCCGGCUGAUCCCCUAAGUGAGGUGCACACAUUCGCAUGAGAGCCUUUGGGACCAUCGUGCAUUUCACCCCCGCAGGCUGACCUGUGACUCAGGGCUGUUGGCAGCAUCUGGAGCAGAGGUGGAGAGGAAGAAGCAGGACAGGCACAGAUCCCGCCUGGGCCUGCCCGGCCGGCCGGGGAGGCAAGGAUCAGCACCCGGGCUUCGGGAAAGCCCAGGGCAGCCCGCCGCCCCACGCCUCUCCUCUGUGCGGAGAUGUUUAAAACAGAAGCCGACGUGCCCGGGGUCGGAAGUUUCUUUGGAAGAAGGGGCGGUAAGUAGAAGUGAGUUAUAAAGUACCCGGGAAGGUAAACUGCACCAUAGUGCUGGAUGGGGCCUGCAAGGGGCAGUUACAUAAA
Molecule: long non-coding RNA, 3030 nt
Organism: Felis catus (domestic cat)
Lineage: Eukaryota; Metazoa; Chordata; Mammalia; Carnivora; Felidae
Exons: 3
Source: RefSeq, a predicted model, not a curated record